Molecule: long non-coding RNA, 328 nt
Organism: Bombina bombina (fire-bellied toad)
Lineage: Eukaryota; Metazoa; Chordata; Amphibia; Anura; Bombinatoridae
Exons: 3
Source: RefSeq, a predicted model, not a curated record
AAGGGAUUGGCAGAGAGGUGCAGCAGAUGAAGAGCGACUUGUAAGGAAGAUGAGUCUGGCAGAGGCAUUCAUUAUGGUUUGUAAAGGAGCUAGGCGGCAGCUGGGGAGACCAGAGAGGACAGAGUUGCAGUAAUCAAGAAAACUUCAGCUGCCUGCAGCCAUUCAGAUUUUGCUACACCCUGAUUACACUGAUAAAGGUCAAACAGCAGUACAUAGAAUUCCAGAUUGCAGAAUCCUAUUCUGACUUCAGGAGGAGCAGCCUUGGCAGGUGCACAGUUUGCUGGGACACUGUGGAGUUCCCAGAGUGUUUUCCUAGGCAUUAUCUCUG